Long non-coding RNA from Panthera uncia (snow leopard), 1584 nucleotides. RefSeq lists it as uncharacterized. The transcript is spliced from 2 exons. The record is from RefSeq and is a predicted model, not a curated record. Lineage: Eukaryota; Metazoa; Chordata; Mammalia; Carnivora; Felidae.
CCUUCCAAGGUUCUAGAACUUUUAAGAUUCUACAAAAUGGGGAGCGGGUUUCGGCUGUAGGACUUGAGUGGUCUUGGCCAUCUUACCAAGGGCCACCAGGACCCCAGAUAGGCCACUGGGGGCAUGGACCAGCCUGGAGGACAGCCUGAAGUGCCCCUGCCUUCAGGCCUGCUGUGACACGUUGAGGCUUCAUUCAUAACUAGUCCAAGUGUUUGGCGAGCAGGGGGCUGCGGACACGUGGGCUCGAAGAAGGUGCCUUAGAGAGACCCUCACGUUCCCUCCAAGGAAGGAGCCACCUCUGCCAGCCCGCAGGCCCCUUCCCCGACAACAGCCGCUUACCUCCCACCUGCAAUCCCCGCACCGGCCUCCCGCGCCCAUCCUUACUGUUUCCUUUUCUCCUCCCGAGCAAGGAGCCAGUUUUCGCUCAGCAAACCUUUACCAACUGCCUAUUAAGUGCCAAGUGCUAGGUUAAGCGUUUGAAACACCUAUCACGGAUUGGGACCUCCGUAAGCAGAGCAUGAAGGGCAAGAUAUUUAUUGGGGAUUAACACGUAUGAAAGGGAAGGGAGGAAACAGGAUUAGACAAGUGAAGUCAACUGAUCCCGGCUCUGCAAAGCCUCAGCCAGCCCUGCGGCGAGCUCUGGAGAGAGCCCCGCCUGGCAGGACCGUUCUGCAUCAGCCGAAAUGGCCAACCCUUUAAACCCCAAGGCUCAGUCACCAGAUGCAGGCUGCCCUGGGAAGGGUGUGACCUCAGGCCACAGGCUCUCUGCAGCUAAGGCAGACCCGAAAGAGCCGAAAGAGCCGAAGGCAGCGGACUGUCGCCAGCCGCACUCCCCGCGCCGGGCAGCAGGCCCUUCCCGGAAGGGGUGUCUGGGCAGAGUCCCUCUCUUUGUCUACCGAACAUCCAUGAUCCGACCGAAAUCGCGCCACAACCCAUCUGUGCAGGAAUUAACAAACUUAUUUUACAGAGGAGUUCACAGAGGUUCAGCAACUUGCCCAAAGCAGCUUCCAGAAAGGAAGAGAGAGUCGGAAGCCAGGAUGUACUCAUGUCUGUACUUGGCGCCUGGAGGUGUGGCAGCCAUCUUGUGACCGGGCGGAGAAACUGACACCCUGAUGCUGGCUCAGCGGGAAGAUGGAAAGGACAUUACUGGGCUGCUGAAUUAAUGGCUCCUGUAGCUACCAAACCUUGGAACUUAGUCUUCAGUGGAUACACGUUUCUCACUGUUGAUCAGCUGAGUUGGUGGCUUCAAAUUUUUGCAGCCUGAAGGUUCUGACUGAUUCAAGAGCUAAAGAGGAUGCCAAGACACCUUGUUGCUUCCACAGCUUAGGCUUGGAGAAGAGAUAAAGCUGUGAGGGUUAAAGGUAUAGGCUUUGCAGUUAGACAGAGUUGGCUUCAAGUCCCAGCUUGGCCACUUCCUACUUGUGUGACCUUAGGCAUGUCACUUAAUGUCCUUGAGAUUCAAUUCCUGGGGAUGAGAAUAAUACAACAUAGGGCUCUGAUGAUAAAAUAAGGAAAUGCACAAAAAGGGCUGCUUAGUACAGGACAGGGUGCAUAAUAAGUACUCAUUAUAUCAUCCUGAUGCCA